GCAUUCGUACGGAGUCUCCUUUAAGGAAAAUCUUAUCGCUAAUUACCAACUCCACUACUUAUCCUAUUCUUACUGUCGAAAAAUAAGAGGAAAUAUCCCGAGCUGAUGUGAGCUUAGGUUAAUAGUGAUUGUAAAAGUGUGAGGCUCGUCAAUUUGGAAGCAGGUUGGACCUAAAAGGAUGGCAGAAGGCUUUCGAGCUUGAGCAUGGACUAUCGAAUAUCAGGCAUUACCAUAAAGCAUGGUAAAUACUAAGCCAAACUUCUAUCAACCAAGACACUUGACUCGACUCAU
This is a long non-coding RNA of Drosophila arizonae, 291 nucleotides long. NCBI's taxonomy places the organism in Eukaryota, Metazoa, Arthropoda, Insecta, Diptera, Drosophilidae. The record is from RefSeq and is a predicted model, not a curated record.